RNAcentral lists this ribosomal RNA (430 nucleotides) under uncultured bacterium. Its description in RNAcentral is "bacterial SSU rRNA". It matches the Rfam family "Bacterial small subunit ribosomal RNA", at positions 355 to 777 of the family's 1533-position model. The record is from RNAcentral.
UGGGGAAUCUUCCGCAAUGGACGAAAGUCUGACGGAGCAACGCCGCGUGAACGAUGACGGCCUUCGGGUUGUAAAGUUCUGUUAUACGGGACGAAUGGCGUAGCGGUCAAUACCCGUUACGAGUGACGGUACCGUAAGAGAAAGCCACGGCUAACUACGUGCCAGCAGCCGCGGUAAUACGUAGGUGGCAAGCGUUGUCCGGAAUUAUUGGGCGUAAAGGGCGCGCAGGCGGCGUCGUAAGUCGGUCUUAAAAGUGCGGGGCUUAACCCCGUGAGGGGACCGAAACUGCGAUGCUAGAGUAUCGGAGAGGAAAGCGGAAUUCCUAGUGUAGCGGUGAAAUGCGUAGAUAUUAGGAGGAACACCAGUGGCGAAAGCGGCUUUCUGGACGACAACUGACGCUGAGGCGCGAAAGCCAGGGGAGCAAACGGGA